GACGAACGCUGGCGGCGUGCUUAACACAUGCAAGUCGAACGGAAAGGCCCUGCUUUUGUGGGGUGCUCGAGUGGCGAACGGGUGAGUAACACGUGAGUAACCUGCCCUUGACUUUAGGAUAACUUCAGGAAACUGGGGCUAAUACCGGAUAGGAGCUCCUGCUGCAUGGUGGGGGUUGGAAAGUUUCGGCGGUUGGGGAUGGACUCGCGGCUUAUCAGCUUGUUGGUGGGGUAGUGGCUUACCAAGGCUUUGACGGGUAGCCGGCCUGAGAGGGUGACCGGCGACAAUGGGACUGAGAUACGGCCCAGACUGCUACGGGAGGCAGCAGUGGGGAAUAUUGCACAAUGGGCGGAAGCCUGAUGCAGCAACGCCGCGUGCGGGAUGACGGCUUUCGGGUUGUAAACCGCUGUCGCCUGUGACGAAGCGUGAGUGACGGUAAUGGGUAAAGAAGCACCGGCUAACUACGUG
Molecule: ribosomal RNA, 468 nt
Filed under: uncultured bacterium
Lineage: Bacteria
Description: partial 16S ribosomal RNA
Rfam family: Bacterial small subunit ribosomal RNA
Source: RNAcentral